GAUAUACCCACUGUAUUGGACCCAAACACCUUCCUGAAAAUUGUUCUGAAGGGGUUAGCACAAGGAAACUAUUGUUAUGACUUGCGAGGUCUGCUGGAGGUGACCGGAUCCGGAUGACUUGAGCAAAGCUGUGAAAAUUCACGGCAAGGGAUGGGGGUACAAGGCAUGGGUCUGCGGCGCCACACCUUGCUGUUCCCUGCCGGUGGCCAGCGAGUUGUGGCGGUGCUUCUCUGUUGCAUGGCGAGGGACUGGGGUGCAAGGCGUGCAUCUGCAGUGCCACUCCUGGGGCAUGCCUCUCCCGCGACAUUGCCGGCAUACACAACAUACCUUACUACACGGGGAUUUCCUCUCUGAACUAAAUAUUAUGUCAGAACUGAAUAUUACGUCCGAAGACUGAAACAUCCAGAAAGCUUAUUGAGACUAUUCAUUGAUGGUGUUUCUCUACUACACGAGGAAGACAAUCUUGUUGUAUGAUUGUUUUCAUGGCCUUCAAAGGAGAGAUAUCCUAGAAGUUGACUGCAGUUGGAGGGGCCUCAGUCCUUUUGAGCCAAGAAAAGUUGAUGGGGCCUGUCCAAGCUAUGAAUAGUAUAUGGGAAAGUGUUGAAAUAUUUUGUGUUUCCAUGGUUUCUAAAUGGUAGGAGGUAUGUGUAGUAACCUGUACGGUUUCAAGUGCCUAAUUUCAUGUGUAAAAGUUUGCCAGGGAAUUCUGGUUGUAGAAUCUUGGAAUAAGGAAACA
This is a long non-coding RNA of Triticum aestivum (bread wheat), 736 nucleotides long. RefSeq lists it as uncharacterized. The record is from RefSeq and is a predicted model, not a curated record. Lineage: Eukaryota; Viridiplantae; Streptophyta; Magnoliopsida; Poales; Poaceae. The transcript has 4 exons.